This 64-nucleotide transfer RNA is filed under the name Nymphon unguiculatum-charcoti complex sp. SEM-1997. Its description in RNAcentral is "tRNA-Thr". Lineage: Eukaryota; Metazoa; Arthropoda; Pycnogonida; Pantopoda; Nymphonidae. The record is from RNAcentral.
GCUUUAAUAAUAUAUAAUUUAAUAUAUCAAUUUUGUAAAUUGAAAAAGGAUUUUCCUUAAGGUU